Lepisosteus oculatus (spotted gar) is the source of this 469-nucleotide non-coding RNA. The record is from RefSeq and is a predicted model, not a curated record. Lineage: Eukaryota; Metazoa; Chordata; Actinopteri; Semionotiformes; Lepisosteidae.
CACUCUUCAUGGGACGCCAGUCUACUUCACUUCAGACACACCUAACUUAGGGACCAACGACUAGCAAACAUGUCUUUUGGGAGAUGGAAACCAAAAUGGAGCACCUGGAGAAAACCCACAAGAACACAUGAAAACGUUUAAACUCACUGAAGGCAACCUAGUCCGCAAUCAAGCCCAGAACCUAAGAUUCAUAAGACCACGACUUUCUGAGGAUGGAUGGAUAUACUGUACAGUACUGCUUAAAUUGUACUGCAAUUGAAAUACACAACGCAGAAUAUGCAUGUUUAAAAGGCCACCGGAAACGUGAGAAGUAUGGUACUAUCAUUACUGUUUGUUCUAAGAGGAUGUGCAUUAGCUGAAAACAAGGCGAUUCUUUUAUACACAGUGGGACAUGACCAGUUUGAGGAUGGUGAGCGGACUGGAGCACAGUGGACCCCUCUCCGGCUGCGCAAGGCCCCGCCCCACCUCG